RNAcentral lists this long non-coding RNA (23535 nucleotides) under Coffea arabica (coffee). Its description in RNAcentral is "long non-coding RNA (CARA_LNC006564)". The record is from RNAcentral. Lineage: Eukaryota; Viridiplantae; Streptophyta; Magnoliopsida; Gentianales; Rubiaceae.
UUCUCUCUUUGAAGACUCUUCACUAAACAGCAAGUGGGUAGCAGAUAUUCAAAAGAAGGAGAAGGAAAAGUAAAAAGGCGAAGAAGACGAGGAAGCUUUCAAUAUCAUAUUCACGGCGGCGGGUGGCUGUGAAUUUUGGAGAAGAGAUGGGAGGGAGGAAAGAAGAACGCACGGGCCCCGUGGCUGCUUUGACCAGAUAGUGCCAAUCUGGUUUGAAGCUGUACAAUGUGAGAAGGGUUAACCGUAAUUUAACCCCUUGAGUUAUAUCUAAUUCCCACUUCACCCCUUAACCUUUAUUCCGUAUCACUUAACUCCUUAGGGACAAAAAUAGCUUCUAUUAUAUAAUUUUUUUCCUUUUUUAUCCCGUUUGUCUUUUUCAUUUUAAAUUAGUUUUAUUUUUGUAAAUUUUUGUUUCUAAGACAAUAUUCUGUAAUAGAAAAUAAGAAUGUCCAUUCUCUAAUUUAUAUAAUUAAAAAACUAUAUAUAUAUAUUUUUUAAAAGUCAAAUUCAUUUAUUUUCCAAUUUAAGAAACCAAGAAAAAAUUUUAUUAUAUUUCCUUGUAAUUACACUAUUCACAGUCAAUUACUCAUUUUUACAAUCACAUAUUCACAUGUCAAUACUAAACAUUUUAUUUGUUAUUUUUCCUAUAAUGAAAUUUUGGUUGGUAAGAUUUUUUUCUAACCAUUUUUUAAAAUUAAUCAAUUGUUAGUGUAUUCCGUAAUAUAUAUAUAUAUAUAUAUAUAUAUAUAUAUAUAUAUACACACACACUCAUCUCAAUUCUUAUGCAAAACUUUACCACCACCAAUUAGAGUGGUCAAAAUUAAAUCAUGGGUUAAAGUUCAAUAAUUUAAGGAAUUAAAAAUUUUGAAAAUAAAAGCUUAGUAUAAUAGAGGAGUAUUUUUGUCUUUAAGGGGAUUAAGUAAUAAAGAUUAGAGGUAAAAUUGAAAAUUCCGAUAUACUUAAGGGGAUAAAUUGUCAUUAACCCAAGUAAAAAUGAUAAAGAGAUAAUUUCAAAAAACCUUUCUCUGAUGUAUCUUUUAGAACCAUUGAAUUUUAAAAAAUGUCAUUUAUCUCCCCUACUUUGGAUAUUUUUUCAACUUUUGCAACAAGAUUCAAAAAAUAAUGUUAAAAAAACUCAUUUUAGAAGAGAGAGGAUAAUCUGAUUCUAAAUUUACAUUUUUUUUGUGGACACUUAAUUGUCAUAACAUAUUAAUUUCAUUUCUUAAUUUUUGUAAAUUUGGUUAAUAUGGUUCAUUAAUUGAAAUUCAAAAGUUAAUAGCAGGACCCUUUAAUAGCUUUUUAUAUCAUUGGUUUGGAAAAGAAAUAUUAAGAUAUUUAAAUUAUAAAUAGUUUACAAUACUUGUAAAAAUAACUUGAAAUAUUUUAUAAUAAUGAAAAUAACUUUUGUUACCAACUUGAAAACGUCACAAACUGUAAGGCCCGAAAAUAACUUAAGAGGGGGUGAAUUAGGUUGAUUAUAAAACUAAUCAAGUUAUGGGCACUUUUUGUUCAAUAUGAAAUUUACCCUCUUUUCUAAGUGAUCAUACAAUGAAUCAAUCAAUGAAUGAACAAAAUGUGAUGACCCAAAAUUUUUAUUAUUUUAAUUUUAUUUCACUGGUUUAUUUAAUUAUUUAUUCACCCGUUUAUCCCAAAUAAUUUAUUUCAUCCGUUUUAAGUCCAUUUGUAUGCAAAAAUGUCCCUUUUAUAAUUUUAAAACGUUUCGUUAGCAAAUUUAAUUUUUCUACGACUCAUUUAGCGAGAAAUAAUGAGUACACAUUUUUCGAGGUUAUAUUCGAUCUAAGAGUACAUUAAUCUUGGAAAAUUAAGAAUGAUUAAUAGUAGACUAAGAAAAGUUAAUUGAGGGAUUAGAUGUGAGUUAGUUAAAAUUAAACUUUUACUGCGCGCGCGUCAAUAGUUUCCCGAAAGUCGCUCCGGUACGACUAAUUAGAGAUUUGAGGAUUUAACAUUAGACUACUAAGGGUGAGUAAUUACCAUAUUAAAGGAGUUACAUUGGAGGUUUAGUACUCAAGUGAAUCAAAUUCGAGAGAAAGUGGUAGUACAAAACACCAUUUGGGCACUAUUAAGAGUUGACGUUUUGCACCAAACUUAAAGCUACUAUUUCAUUCUUUCCCUCCAACUUUCAUCACACAAACAAACCCUCAUCUCUCUCUCCUCACUCCCUCAUUUUCGGCCAGACCAACAAGAAAGAAAAAGGGAAGGAAAAACUUCAUUUGUUUAGCUUGAUUUCACUCACCAAACCUCCACCAAAUCGUAAAUAACUUGGAGUAACACUUCAUCUAGGAGUAAGGAGCAAUCUUGAGGACUUUUCCUGGAGAGUUUCGGCUAAAAAUUUCUGGUUUCAUCUUAAGUUUUGAAGGUAUAAACACCUCCACCAAAGCUUUUACUUUCUUGUUUCAUUUCUUGGUUUUGAAGCUUGUAGCUUCCUUAUUGUUGUUGUUGCUUGGAUUUGGUUGGUUGAAGUGGGCUCUAUAAACUCCCACCUUAGUUAUAUGAGGGCUGCCAUGAUGUUUAUGUGUGUGUUAGUGUGUUUGUGAUGAGUUUUAAUGGAAGAACUAGAAGAGGAAAAAGAAAGAGAGAAAACCGUGAGAGGAAGCAAGAUGGCCGAAUCUGCCCUGUUGUUGUUCUUGCUUGAAUUUUGAUUUUUUGUUGGUUUUUUGGCUGUGAAAUUGGUUGAUAUAUGUUGUAUAUUGUGUGUUGAAAGUGUCUACCAAAAAUCAUUUUAUUUGGUUGAGCAAAACUAGAAUUUUCGAAACUGCAAAAAAUCUGGAAAUGGUCAUCCGAAGGCCUGAACAGUGUAUCUUUGAUUGAACAUAACUCUUUGUACAAAAGUCAAAAUCGAGUGUCAUUUGUGGCAUUUGAAACUAGACAUCUGUAGUUUUCUAACGGUAUAAAAAUCACUGUCUAGUUCGUUUUGUGUGAACUGCAAUGAACUGAUAAAGUCGGCUGUUCUGUUCAGCCUGUUCAUUCGAAUGGAAAUGAGAAGCUGUAACUUAUGGCUUGAAUUUGAACUACUUUUGAACUGAUUUUGGAAAUGAUUUCUUCUGAUGAAAUGUGGAAUUUUGAACCUAGUUUUCAACGCCACCAACAUUCUCAAUUUCAAGUUGUAUUGAGUGAGAUAUGGUUCAAUUUCCAAACCGUGGCAAAACUGGAAAACUGGAAAACUUUUCCUUCUUGCUGGCCGACUGGUCUAGUUUGUUGUGGGAGGUUUUAUUUCGAAAAUUUUGAUGUCAAUUACCCACCAAUUGCUUAUCAAAUUUUUAUGGAACCUUGGUUUAAAAAAUGAAGUGGAUUGGGACUGAUUUCAUGGUACUAAGCUUUUGGAAAGAAAGAAAAUGGUGAGAUGGCAGAUUUGCUUUGGGAAUUUCACGAACUUUGAUUAUUUUGUUAACUGCCUUCCCACAUGAGUUUUCACAUGAAAUUUUGGUAGAGAUAUAGUUAACAUAUGGAAGAUUUAGUGUACCAAAUUUGGUGUAUUUUCAAUGCCAUUUCAAUGGCUAAAUGAUACUUCAAAGAUAGCUUUUCAAAUCUGGAAAAUGACUGAACAGUUAGCAAAAUGUGACCAACUUUGAACUGAUGUAUCUCGAUGCUCGAAACUCCGAAUUUAGUUUUGUUUGUUGUGUUUGAAACUUUGUUUAGAACUCUUAUUGUGUUACAAAUUUCAGAGGCUAGUUCACUUUCUGUGAAUUUUACCGAAUUUCCAAAGUUUGCCAAAAAACAUGACCGAAACUGUCUUGUAAGCUCAAGUCAGCCACUUUGAGAUGAAAUUUGAAUGUCUUCCGUUUAGAAUCUUAGAAAAGUGUUUUCUAGGAACUUUUAGUACUCUAAACCAAGAUUCCAACAGUAUAAAGUUUUCCAUUUUUGGACUUACGAAACUCUAGAUACGAUUUUUCAAAAUAAUGUCCCUCUAGAAUGGAAAAUUUCUGUUUUCAACCAAAUUACUCCUUUAAGAACUUUCCACCAUCCUUUGUGAUUGUUGGACUGUUUUAAGUUUUUUUUCAUGGUUUAAUACAAGGUCUCUUUGGAACUUUGAACUUUCAUUUCAAAUCUUGGUUUCCGAAGGAUAAACCUCUCUUGAUGCAUUUACUUGGUCAUAUAACUCCCUUGGUUAAUGGUACUUCUCUUCAUAUUUAAAUUAGGGACUUCAUGAUACGUAUCUCGUUGGUGACGAAGAUUCGCGACCCAAGAUCGCUUGUUGGAUUUGUGAUUGACGACCAAGGAAGGUAGCAGUGGAAACCCUACGACCCCUCUAAUCCCCGUGACUACGAACUUAUUGAUAUUAUCUCAACCCGUAAUCAAACGAAUUAGUGAACCUCAGGAAAGUGUAGAAGGCGCCACAACUCAAGUGUGAUUCUUGAAGUGAUAAGCCAACAAGAACACUAGAGUAUAACUCUAAGUUGUUCAAGGGAUACUCGAAAGCUAUAGAGAAAAUUAUCUCACUUGAUUUAUGAUAAAAGUGUCUUCCCUUUUAUUGAUGUAUUAUGGCCCCUUAUAUAGGGUACAAGUAGUACCUAAUCUGAUAAGGAAAGUAAAGCUAAAGGUACGGCUGGUAUGGGUCCUAACUAGUGAAGGAAACGGAAAUGGAAACGAUGGCCUCAACCCUCAACAGAUAGGGCUUCAUGCGGGCUUUCCUUCCUAGGCAACCCACCUUAACAUAUAGUGAUGAACAAAAUAGCAAUCCUACUCUUGGCGAUUCUAUGUGCAACAUGCACUUAGCCAAUUAUUCAACCUAAUCAAACUAACACGUAAAUAAAUGAAACUAUUGUAAUAGGAAACGAGGUUUGGCAAAACCCUAAACCUCUGGUAUAGCUUCAAUGCUCAAUACCGGACCUCGAUCACCUUCACUGGAGUGUAUGAAUCCCUCAAAGGACUUGUGUAUGGCCUGUACAAGUACAUUGAGUUGCUCACGAAAUCUCUUUGCACGAGCCCUAGUGAUGGGCCCGUUUGGAGCUUGCACGCGGUCCUCGGCCCCUCGAUCACUCGAGCCAUUGUUGGCGUGCCCAUGUACUAUGAUGCUAUCAUUCCCCUCCUCUUGAGAAGGAUUUGCCCUCAAAUCAAAAGCUUCAUCUGCAUCAAAAGAAGCUAGGUCAGAGACAUUAAAUGUAGCACUAACUCCAUACUCACCUGGAAGAUUAAGUUUGUAAGCGUUGUCAUUAAUGCGCUCCAACACUUGAAAAGGUCCAUCACCCCGUGGUUGUAGUUUAUUUCGCCUUUGCAUAGGGAAACGUUCCUUGCGCAUGUGCAACCACACCCAAUCGCCAGGUUCGAAAGUCAGUUUUUGGCGACCUUUGUUAGCUUGCUUGACAUAUUGAGCAGUUCUCCUCUCAAUGUUGGCCCUGACUUUCUCAUGAAGUUGCUUAACAAAAUCUACACGUUUCUUACCAUCCAAGUGUGCGCGCUCAUUACUAGGUAAUGGCACUAGAUCAAGAGGUAUUAGAUGAUUAAAACCAUAAACACAUUCAAAUGGAAAGAAACCAGUAGUAGAAUGGACAGCCCUAUUAUAAGCAAACUCAACAUGAGGUAAACAUUCUUUCCAUGUUUUCAAGUUCUUUUUUAUGAUGGCACGCAACAAGGUACCUAAUGUACGAUUCACCACCUCAGUUUGACCAUCAGUUUGGGGGUGGCUAGCAGUAGAGAAUAGCAAUUUGGUGCCUAACUUAGACCAGAGUGUCUUCCAAAAAUAGUUGAGAAAUUUGACAUCUCUAUCAGGAACAAUGGUCCUAGGAAUGUCAUGCAGUCGCACAAUCUCUUUAAAGAACAAGUGAGCAAUAUGGGAUGCAUCAUCCGUUUUGUGACAAGCAAUGAAGUGUGCCAUCUUAGAGAAUCUAUCAACUACCACAUAAAUGGAGUCAUGGCCAAACUUGGAUCUAGGCAACCCGAGUAUAAAAUCCAUAGAAAUGUCAAUCCAUGGUACUCUAGAAAUAGGUAAUGGGGUGUAAAGGCCAUAAGGGUGUACCUUGGAUUUAACUCUCUUACACGCUAAGCAGCGCUCCACCACCCGUGCAACAUCUCUCCUCAUGUGCAGCCAAUAGAAAUGUUCCUGCAGCAUGGCAAGAGUUUUAUCAACCCCAAAGUGCCCUAUAAGUCCACCCGAAUGGGAUUCCCUUACCAAAAGCUCACGGAUUGAUCCAUGUGGGAUGCAAAGCCGAUUGGCACAGAACAAGUACCCAUCAGAAAUGAAGAACUUAUCUUGCCCGGUGUGUUUGCAAGAAAUGUAUAGCUCAUCGAAGUCACUAUCUUAUGCAUAGAGCUCUUUAAUUAGCUCAAAUCCCAACAACUUAACAUCUAAAGAAGUGAUUAGACAGUACCUUCGUGAGAGUGCAUCCACGAUCACAUUGGACUUACCAGCCUUGUAUUUAAUAACGUACGGAAAUGGCUCCACGAAUGCAAUCCACCUUGCAUGCUUCUUGCUCAAGUUGUGUUGGGCCUUAAGGUACUUAAGGGACUCAUGAUCAGUGUGUAUCACGAAUUCCUUAGGCCUUAAGUAAUGCUACCACACUUGUAGUGCUCGAAUGAGGACAUACAACUCUUUAUCAUAAGUUGAGUAAUUCAGUGCAGCCCAUUGAGUUUCUCACUAAAGUAGGCAAUAGGUUGUUCACCUUGGUUCAACACAGCUCCAACUCCAAUACCUGAAGCAUCACAAUCGAUCUCAAAUGUUUUAGAGAAAUCAGGUAACGCAAGUACAGGUGCGUGUGUGAGUUUGUGCUUUAAAGCGGUAAAAGCCUUUUCUUGAGAAUCUCCCCAGCGAAAAUUCUCAUUCUUCUUGAUCAAUUCGGCCAAGGGUGUAGUAAUGGUGCUAAAGUCCCUCACGAAUCUCCUAUAAAAACCCGCAACUCCAUGGAAACUUCAAACAUCACCCACAGACCUUGGUGUUGGCCACUCUUGAAUAGCUUUCACCUUUUGAUCAUCCACCUUCAUUCCCUGCGCACUUAUAACAAACCCUAGAAACACAAGCUCAUUAGAGCAAAAAUUGCACUUCUUGAGAUUGACAUAAAGCUUCUCUCAUUGAAGUACAUCCAUAACCGCCCUAAUAUGCUCAAGGUGUUCAUCGUAAGACUUGCUAUAUAUUAGGAUAUCAUCAAAGUAAAUUACCACAAAUUUUCCCAAGAAUGGACGUAGCACAUGAUUCAUUAAUCUCAUGAAAGUAUUAGGUGCAUUAGUGAGCCCAAAAGGCAUCACUAACCAUUCAUACAAUCCAUACUUAGUUUCGAAAGUAGUUUUCCAUUCAUCCCCCUCUUUAAUCCUAAGUUGAUGGUACCCACUUUUGACAUCAAUUUUGGUAAAGAACACAGUCCCAUGUAACUCAUCAAGCAUAUAAUCUAAGCGAGGUAUAGGGUGACGAUACUUUACCAUGAUGGCAUUUACAGCUCUACAGUCGGUACACAUCCUUCACGUACCAUCUUUCUUAGGCACUAAAAUGACUGGGACAGCAUACGAGCUCAAACUCUCACGUGCCCAUCCCUUGCCAAGCAACUCAUCCACUUGCCUUUGCAACUCCUUGGUCUUCUCCGGGUUGCUCUUGUAAGUUGGUCGGUUUGGCAAUGAAACUCCAGGGAUGAAAUCAAUUUGAUGCUCAAUGUCUCGGAGUGGGGGCAAUCCACUUGGCACAUCCUCGGGGAAGAUAUCCGCAUACUCCUGCAGAAGAGACACAACCUCAGGAGGUAUGUUAGUAUCAAGUUCAUGCACCUUCAGAGCUACUUCUUUGCUAACAAGCAUAAGAAGCGGCUGCUCAUCUCUCAUUAACUUCCUCACUAUCUUGGCUUUUAUCAGAAGCAUUUGUUUUCUCUCGGAUUUCACCUCACUUGCCAAGCUAUCUAUAGCCUUUUUCAUCUCUUUUUUUGCCCUGGCGCUCACGUUUUCUUUCUUUUUUGCACAAUACUUCUCAUACUGUUGUUGCAAUUUCAAUUGGUUUUCAUGCACUUGUUUUGGGGAAAGGGGAGCUAGGGUGACUUUCUUACUAUUGUACAAGAACCUAUACUUGUUAGUCACACAAUCAAAAGUUACAUGCCUGUCAAACUGCCACGGCCUACCUAGUAUAAUAUGACUAGCUUGCAUAGGAACUAUGUCACAUAAUACAUCAUCAGAAUAUUUAUGAAUUUGGAAGGAUAUAAGAACCUGUUUGGUUACUCGAACCUCCCCAGAAUUGUUGAGCCACUAGAGUUUGUAGGGUCGCGGGUGAUCCCUUGUAGGCAGUUUCAAGUGGUCCACCAUGAGUGAACUAGCUACAUUUGUGCAACUCCUACUAUCAAUAAUCACACUACAAAGUGCUUGGUUGACGAAGCACCUGGUGUAGAAAAUGUUCUCCCGUUGAAGCUUUUCCUCCUUAACACGUGUAGUUAAUGCUCUCCUUGCAACCAAUGCGGUCCCAAAGUGACCUUCGGGUGCAUUAAAUUCCUCUUUAUUUGGUGACUCGCUAUCACUACCUCCUUCAAGUGGUGGCAUGCCAUCGUACUCGGCUUCAUCUUCACUCACGAUCUCGCCAUUUUGCAGCAUAAUCAUAGUCCUUUGGUUGGAGCAUUGACUAGCGAUAUGGCCUCUACCAUGGCAUUUGAAGCAUCGAGUAUCACGAGCUCUAGUUUGUGCCCUAGGCUCCUCAAAUUUCGGAAUAGAAGAGGGUGGUUUUCCGACAUUAGAAUGACCCAUUUACCUCCCUUGAAUCUCGGCUUUGGUGUAGGAGCAUUUGGUGAAGGCCGAGAAUCAUUCCUUGGUUGGAAUGAGCGGUGGGUAGAGUAGGUGGUAUUGCUGAAAUUCGGCCGAGUAGUACCCCUCCUCUUGAGCCUGUGUUCGACCUUAAUGGCCUUGUCAACAAGCUCAUACAAUUCCAUAUAAUGUUGAAGUUCCACUCGUUCAGCAAUAUCGGGUCUUAACCCGUUCAAGAACCUGGCCAUGGUGGCUUCGGGAUCCUCUUGUACAUCUGCUCUAAGCAUCAAGAUCUCCAUCUCCUUAUGGUACUCAUCCACACCCCAGUUGCCUUGGACUAAGGUUUGUAAUCCGUAGUACAAAUCCCUAGUGUAGUGUCCAGGAACAAAUCUGGUGCGCAUCAUGGUUUGAAGUUCGGGCCAUGGAAUGAGCUCGGGUAGCCCGCUUCUCCUUCUUGACUUCUUGAUUUGGUCCCACCAAACCACGGCGUACUCGGUGAAUUCCAUGGUUCCCAAUUGCACCUUUUGCUCCUCGGUGUAGUCUUGGCAAGCAAAGACCAUUUCGAUCUUGGAUAAUCAUUCGAGAAAGGCCUCGGGAUCGGACCGUCCUUUGAAUUCAGGGAUUUUCAUUUUGAUUCCCUUGAACACAUCGGUAGGUCCAGUCUGGUGCCUUUGCCUUGGUCGAGUGCGAGGUUCCUCGUCGUCAUCAUCAUGAUUGGAACCAUCGGACUCCUCCACGUCCCUUCGCCUUCGCGUGGACUUAGAAGUUUUUGGUGUUCUAGAUGCCCGGAAUUGCAGCAACUCAUCUUGAAUUGGUUCUAGCAUGCGUUGGAAAUGCCUCUCCAUUUUCUCCAUCAUCUUGUCAAAGUCCAUAGGGCGGGAUACUCCUUCGUUUCCACUAGACAUGGAGUCUCGAGUGUACCUGCAAGGGUUAGUAGCAAAGAAAAAGGAAAAAGGAAAAGAAGCGUUUGUCUUAUUUUUUUUUCACCUUACUCCCUAAGUGUAUACUCUCACACUCGUAUAUGGUUACUCAGAUCACUCUAAUGAGCCCCUUGCAAAUUUUCUCACAGCCCCUUGCAAAACCUUGAAGAAAUUAGAAUUCCUCAAGUGCUCAAAUUUAGCUUAAAAAAAACAAGUUCAUGCUAGAAUUUGAGGUUCAUAAGAGUGGAGAUUUUCUUGAAAAACAAAAUUAGAACACUAAGAAUGGAGUGGUAGAAUAUAUUCAAGAAUAAGAAUUAGAAAAAGAAUUGACACAGAAGCUCCAAAAAAUUCAGAAUGACACUCAAGGACCCUAACCGACAAGGAAGUUGGUCCUUGUGCCUUGCUAGAUUUCUUGGUCCGUUUAAUUCUUGUUCUAGCCGACUAUAGGUGCUGGAUCCUUUUGUUUUGCAGAGGUGCGGAUAAAGCCUAGGUGCCAAUAUGGGCAAGUGGGGGCUACAAAUCAGGAAGCAAGAAGAAUUUGGAAUCCCUUUGGUUUUAGAGACCAAUCAGGUUUGGAAGUCCUAUAGCGGCUGUUCCCUCUUUCUUUUCUAGAUGUGCAGCCGAGUGGGUUCCUCUUCCCAAGUGUUUUAGGAGUGCACAAAGGCUGGGAUAUUUGGUGAAUUAAAUUCAGCUCUCUCUCUGGCUGUUCAACUCACAAGCGUCAAACACCACAAUCCGGAUGAAGUUGCAAAACCCAGGUGAUACUCAAGUUCCUCCACGGGCUCCCCCCCUUCGCGUUACCCAAAAACCUCCCAAGAAAAGUUCAAGAGCUCCUCGAAGACCCUUUACAGAUGCUCGAGAGUAUUUCAAGUUGUUCAAGAAGCGCAAGGCUCAAGUUUUCAAGGGUCAAGAAUCUCAAGAAACUCAAGAAGUUGUUGAUCAGAAUUUUUGAAUGUAGAAUAGGCUCAAUGUAACCUGCAAGUGAUUCCCAACAACGCUCUAGUUGCUUGUUUGAGUUUCCCAAUUCAAUAAAAGUAUUCAAGCACCCUUUGUUUCGAAAUUUGCUUGCUUUUUUUUUUUUUUACAGCAGCAACUUCGGAUGAACGAAGGCUUGGGUUAUCAAUUUUUUUCCAGGACUGUGUCGAGUUUUGUCCAGGUCUGUUUUGGUGGAUUUUUUUGCAAUUGGGUAGGCUAGGUUUGGUUCACAAAUGGGUCAAGAAUGGCUCCAGGUAUCGACCAGCCUUUAACAAUCAAGAAUUGUAAAUCAAACACAAAAAUAUCCAGCAAAGAACUUCAGGAAGUUCGCUGCAAUUUCUAGAUUUCAGAGUGUCAAGAAUCUCUUCAAGAACUUCAAGAAAUCGUGAAGUUUGCUUACGAAGUUCAAGAACAAGGUACCAAUACUUUCCUAGACAAUGAACAACUAAGACACAGAGCACAAACAAUUAAGAGACAACUCGGUCAGAUUGGUCAGUGCAAGAAAACAAUGUCAAGUGUGGCAAAGACAGCAAUCCGAAUGACUCUAUGUCUUGUUGUACGACUUGGACACAACUUUCAACACCGUUGGACACCUUGGUUUGUUGGACCCAAGCGGUGGAAGUAACGUCAGCAAGACACGACCAGAUUUAACACACAAGACUCAAUAGGAAUUGGCAAUAAUAGGACACGGACAGAUUGCACAAGAUUCAAUAGAAACAGCAAUACGGGCGCGACACUAAGAACACUAGUAGUUUGGUUUUGUUUGUUUUUUUUUUUAGUUAACAAAUGAUGGAAUCACACACCACCAAACCCAAACACAACACACUUGACUCCCAGAAAUUCCAGAAGUCAAAACGACAACAAGACAGACUUAAAAACACGCUGACCAGAAUUGAAAGCAACACGGAAAAACUUGUGGACAGUUUGCAGUUGUGGAAACAGAAUUUUAACUAACGAGAAGGAUAAAACGAUGUUACCAACAAUUUAGCUCUGAUGCCAGCUGAUACGAAUCUCAUUGGUGACGAAGAUUCGCGACCCAAGAUCGCUUGUUGAAUUUGUGAUUGACGACCAAGGAAGGUAGCAGCGAAAACCCUACGACCCCUCUAAUCCCCGUGACUACGAACUUGUUGAUAUUAUCUCAACCCAUAAUCAAACGAAUUAGUGAACCUCAGACAAGUGUAGAAGGCGCCACAACUCAAGUGUGAUAAGCCAACAAGAACACUAGAGUAUAACUCUAAGUUGUUCAAGGGAUGCUCGAAAGUUAUAGAGAAAAUUAUCUCACUUGAUUUAUGAUAAAAGUGUCUUCCCUUUUAUUGAUGUAUUAUGACCCCUUAUAUAGGGUACAAGUAAUACCUAAUCUGAUAAGGAAAGUAAAGCUAAAGGUACGGCUAGUAUGGGCCCUAACUAGUGAAGGAAACGGAAAAGGAAACGACGGCCUCAACCUUCGACGGAUAGGGCUUCAUGCGGGCUUUCCUUCCUAGGCAGCCCACCUUAACAUAUAGUCAUGAACAAAAUAGCAAUCCUACUCUUGGCAAUUCUAUGUGCAACAUGCACUUAGCCAAUUAUUCAACCUAAUCAAACAACACGUAAAUAAAUGAAACUACUAAAAUGGGAAACGAGGUUUGGCAAAACCCUAAACCUGUGGUAUAGCUUCAAUGCUCAAUACCGGACCUCAAUCACCUUCAUUGGAGUGUAUAAAUCCCUCAAAGGACUUGUGUAUGGCCUGUACAAGUACAUUGAGUUGCUCACGAAAUCUCUUUGCACGAGCCCUAGUGAUGGGCCCGUUUGGAGCUUGCACGCGGUCGUCGGCCCCUCGAUCACUUGAGCCAUUGUUGGCAUGCCCACGUAAUAUGAUGCUAUCACUUCAACCCCUAUUCUUAUGGCCUUGGUAAUUGUACUAGAGUUGGCAAUCAUACAAGUAUUUUAAAAGAAUGAUUUGAAAGGUUUCUUGUGAACGUAAUUAGUAACACUCGGAAUGUUUUGGCCGAGCUUCCAAGUAAAAAUGUGUUUAUCUUUUUUAUUUGAAAGCCAAAGUUUCUAUCGCCAUAGUCUCUUGAGUAUACGCCCUCGAUUUAAUCGUUGAAAAUGGAUGUUGAGUGAGACUUUAAUUAAAAGAGAACUUGAGAAUUUUACUUGAUUUAUGGGUACAACUUGAAUUGGUGACUAAAGAAGUUAGUGGGCCGUUAGUGGCGGUUUUACUAGACUUUAACUAAAUGAGUUUGAAAAAUGAGAAAAGCUCACUUAUACUUGAAACUUGGGUGUUCAACUAGGGAAUUUUGACAAGAAACUAAUCCUCCGUCUUUCUUGGUUUUCGUGCCAAAACUUAGAGAUCUGUUUAAUCUUCAACUUGGAGAAUUUUGGACAUGACUUGACUUGGAUUAAUAUAUUUUUGGAUAUUUUCAAAUGCUACCCUCGUGGAUUAAGUUAUUAAGUGAUAUUUGUAUUCGAUUUGAACGCGUUAUCUCUUAAGUGAGAGUAGCGGGAAUACUACUAGACCUUGGUUGAAUACCUAGGUGAAUUGUAAUUGUACAUGUCUCAGGUGAUCAAGAGGAUCCCGAGGAACUCGUUUGAUCUUGCCUCGCUCUUGUUUUACACUCUUGAUUCCAGUGAGUGCUCCUUAUAGGUGUACGUGAUUUGAAUAGUUUUGCUACAUGUUUACUUCAUAGUUAUUGUGUACUUAAGUGUUAAGUGUACCCUAUAAUUGCUCUUAUGUAACUGUCCACCGUUUUAAGGCGAGUGUGUACUUUAUCUCAUUCGACCUACUAAAAUGACAAAUUUCUAUCGUUUAACCGUAAAUUUCUACUGUUAACCGUGAACUACUAUCGUUUACCGAUUUACUUGAUUACUUACGCAUGUUGUAAGCUCUAAGUUGAACUGGAUCUUGCCCUUGGUUACUAACCUGCUCAAGUCAGGACUGGGCUCGGUCGGGUAGGUUGGAACCCUGGGCCACCGUUUCGGUAUACUUGAGUAUUACCACUGGAGGGAUAAGGUGAUAGCCAGACAAAUCAAGGGGAUCACUGGAGUUAUAAGGUGAAGUGGACUAAAAUUGUUCCAAGUGAACACCGUAUCCUUUCAAUGUGUGUUUAUUUCUAUACAAUGAUAACUGUUUCAUUCUAAUGUGCCAAUGUGAAACCUUGAACCAUACAUGUGUUAUGCUCAAUUUACUUGAUUUAUUAGAACUGCUAGUGUAGUUUGGAACCUCACUGGGCUGUUUAACUCAUUUCACGCUUUUGUUUUCCUUAACAGGGUUCAAAAUCGAGAGUACUCGCUAAUAGUACUAAGUUGUUCUCUUGGAAAUUUUAAGUUGUAUUAUGGCAGAUGACUGUAGUACAUAUUGUGAGGAUCCGAAAAUUUUCUUAUUUUCGUCAUAUAUUACUGAUUUAUUUAAAUAGUUAUUCACUCAUUUUCUCCGAAUUAUUUAAUUCGACUACUUAAAAUCCAUUUAUAUGGAAAAAAUGCCUCUCUUAUGUUUUUAAAGCGUUUUGUUAGAAAAUUUAUUUUUCGAAAACUCGUUUAGUUCGGAACAACGAGUGCACGUUUCUCGAGACUAUAUUUGAAUCGAGAGUGUAUUAAUUUUGGAGAAGUAAGAAUGAUCAAUAGUAGAUUAAGAAAAAUUAAUUGGAGAUUUGAGGAAUUAAAACUCGACUUAUGUGAGGACUCGCAAAAUUUUCUAUUUUAAACCCUUAUUACUAGCUUAUUUCAAUCUUUAAUUGCCCGUUUGCCUCGAAUAUUUUAUUUCAACCUCUUUAUACUCAAUUACAUGGAACUAUGACUUAGUUAUAUUUUUAAAGUAACUCGUUUCAAAAUUUAAUUUUUGGAAGCUCAUUAAUUGAAAAUAGUGAAUACGCGAUUGGAGUCAAUAAUCGAUUCGUGUAUACAAUAAACUUGGAAAAUUAGAGACUUGCAGCAUGGGCUAAAGAUAGGUAUUUUAAGUUUAAAUACUCAAGUGAUAGUUAUUAGUACUAUCGUUAUAAGAAUUUCUUGGAAGUUUCGCUUUAUCGCGCUUAAUUUGGAGAUACGUGUUUUUAUACGCGCGAUUUAAUUGAGGGACUUUAGACCCUUAUUUUGGGACAAUUAAGAGUGAAUAAUAUUAAUAUGUAUAUGAGUGCAUUAAAGGUUUAGUGCACUAGUGAAAUAAACUCGAGAGGAAUCGAGCACAAAACGCGCGCGUAUACGCGCGAAGAAGAGUUGACUUUUGCACCAACUUGGGCCACACAUUAAAGGUUCUUAAGAAAGCUUUAUUUGAUCAACACACACUCUCUCUCCUAGUCUCUCUUGGCCGGCCAUCAAGCAGCAAAAAUAACCCAUUUGCUCUUCAACUUUCUACUCCAAAUUCUUGCACCAAAUCUCAACCAAAUCAAACCAAAAUUGAACUACACUUAGCCUAAUACUUGGAGAUUGUAUCUAGCUAAAAAGGGGGAGCUUUUCACGGUUUAUUUUGAAGCAAGGAGGGCCAAAAUUUCUUCUCUUGUGCACCAAGUGGAAUAGGUAACGAUCAACUCUCAAAUUCUUGUUUUAUGGAAGUAGUAAUGCACAUCUAAGCUAUUGUAUGCAUGUGGGCAGUCUUGUUUAUGGUGGAUUCUUGUUGUGUGGGCUCUAUGAACUCCCACUUUUGAUGGAAAGACUGAUUUAAUGAUUGAUGAUGAAAUUAAUGGUGGUUUAGUGCUUAAAUUAGUGGAUUAAUGUUGUAUUGUUGGUAGAAAAUCAAAGGAGGUGCUUGGAGCAAAAGUGACCGUUUUACCCCUGCCUUGUUCGACCACUUUUGUGCAAAAUUUUGAGGUUCUAAUGGCUUUUUUAUGUUGUUUACAUGUUAUAUAGAGUGUGUAAAAAGUUUCAUUGAAAAAUAACUUGAUUUGGUCACCCAAAUGUUGGAUUUACGAAAGCUUAGAAAUCUGGAAACUAUUCCCGUAUUCAUCCAGGCAGUGUUUUUGUUUCCGCUAUAACUCAUCGCUCCGAUGUCGGAAUCAAGUGUCGUUUGCGGCACUGGAAACUAGACAUUCCCAGAUUUCAUUUGGUAUAAAAUUCACGUUCUGGUUCCACUCGAGUGAGCCAAACCAUUCGUUUGAAAAUUUCUGUCCUGUUUCGUUUGUCACUGGGAGGCAGAUUAUGAACUGCGAUUUGAUGCUCACGUAUGAGCUGGUUAUGGACAGAUUUUGAAAAUGGUUUCUUCUGAAAGAAUGUAGCCUUAUGAAUCUAUCUUCCAAUGCCACCAACCACGCUCAAUUCCGAGUUGAAUUGAGUGAUUUAUGAUCAAAAUUCGAAACUGGUUUUGUGAAGGAAAACCAUGCAUUUGGACAGAUUUGAAACUAGCGAUGCUUUGGGACUUGUUAUCGGAAACUUCUUGGUGUAAAUCCCCUAUCAAAUGUACCUUGGGCAUAUUUUAGACAUUAUCUACUGGAAUGGACCAUAUUUGAGAUGUUUCUUGGCCGACUGUUUGAAAACGGCAAAACGAAAGUUCAAAGGCAGCUUAGCCUUAGAACUUCUUGUGAUUUCAACGGUCUCGUUAACUGAUUUUCCGUACAUAUUUUUCUAUGAAAUUUGGCAAGGGAGUGGCCAUUAUAUGGUAGUAUAUUCAUCCUAAAUUUGGUGCCAUUUCGAGUCCAUUUCGUUGCUCAACUAAACUUCCAAAGUUCAUGAUUUGAGUUGAAAAUUUUAGUAACUUUGAGUUACCAUAUCUUGGUGCUCAAAACUCCGAAUCUUGUUCCGUUUGUUUUGUUUUAAACUUGGAUUGAAACUCUAAUAGUGCUCCAAAUUUCAGAGGUUAGUUCGGAUCAAGUGAAUUUUGUCAAAUUUUCAAAGUUGGCCAAACACCAACCUAAAUCUGUCUUUAAUGCCCCAGAACAGCAAUUUUGAGCUAAAUUUUGGAUAUCUUCCGUUUGGAAUCAUGGAAAAUUGUCUUCUAAGAACUUUUAGUACUUUUUAAGAGGUUUCCAACGGUACCAAGUUUUCCAAUUCUGGACUUAUAGAGAAUGAGAUACGUUUUUUCAAAGUAUGGGUGACAAAUCUGAUAUUUUUGAACUUAAAGGAAAUUGAGGGUUACGAACUCUCUAUUUUCCUUCAAUAUUGCUAAACCGUUUUACACUUGAUUUCAAAAUGAAAAUCAGAUUUCACUUGUGUUUUAAAACCCCAUUUUUGAGUCUCGAUUUACGAGUAAUUAAGGCUCAUUUUCGUGAAAUUUUCUUAGAUUGUACAAGUGUGCAAUCUUCCUUGAUAAUUAGGGGUUUUAAGCGAUAGUGUGUAAUAGACAAUUACUAUUUGCUCAGUUGCUCAAGGAGACCUUCAAGAGGAUCUCGAGGGGAACACCUAAAGGCUCGUCUAUGCACUUACUCCCUUGUUUCGAUUGGUGAGUGUCAAGUGCAUGAAUUUGUUGCUAAGUGAUUAACUGUUUCUUAUCCGUUAUAUGAAUUUGAACUUUGUGAGACGAAUGUGUACUUUCCCGCACUCGUUCUCCUUCAAAUGAAAUUAUAUUCGUAUUUGGCUAUGUGAAUUCAUAUUCGACUUGUACUUAGUAAUGUGGAUAUGAUUCGUAUUUGUGAUUCGUAUAUGUGAUUCGUAUUUGUGAUUGCUAUUUGGAAUCGUCGAUUUGAGUGUUGCUCAUCGACUUAUAUUCGCAUUCGUAUUCGUAUUCGGGGGACGCCCAAACUCGUUGGCUAAUUUUGCAAAUCGAGCCAGCAUGGGUUUGGUCAAUAAGCUUAGCAAACCAUGAGAUAUUCGUAGAGCAUGAUCUAUUGGAGAGAUCUUGCUCGGCAUUACUCGUGCAGUAUUGUCAUGAUAUACUCGAGUAUUAUCAAAAAAUUUGAUGAGCGGGUCCGGUAAGGGGGUGUAACGGUGAUGGGAUUCGAAGAAAAGUGGUGUAUCUACGGAUUUGAUACUUAUGUGGUUGACGAAGUGUCAACAUGAAUUGUGAUCAAGACUUUGACUCGACUACGUGGAAUUUAACUCCUGAGAGCUACAGUAUCCUUGAACUGUUUCUGUUUAUUUUUCCUAUUCGAAAUGUGAAUUAUUCGAACUUGAUAGCUUUACUUACAAUGUAAUUGUUGUUACUUCUUGGAUUAUGUGUUUGCAUGUGUGUUUCUUGGCCUCACUGAGUAUUGGCUCAUCCCAUUAGUUUGUUUUCCUUAACAGGAACUCGUUUGGAAGGAGUUAAGCAAAUGCUGACUUGAGGCACUUUUGUAUUAGUGUUUUAAUUGUAAUCGACUAGACACUUUUGAAUGUUGUAUAUAUUUGGGAAUUGAUGUAUCUUUUGGAUCCUGAUGUAGGAAUUGGGUAACUGAUGUAUUUUGAACUCGUGGUGCAAGACUUGGAUAUUCGAUUAUAGAAGCGACUUUUCCUUAUUAGACUAGUAUAAAUUGUUAUAUAUUGUUAAGUUUGAAUCGAUUUGUCUCGAGUCAUGGCGAGAGCUGGGCAGGCGUUCCCCGGAUACCCUUGGAUUCGCCCUUGGGAGAAGUGGGGGCGUCACACAUAUUCUUUUGGAUUGUAUUUAACCUUGAAAAUUGAGGUAAUUUUGAUAACUUGUGAUGUAAGAUUUGAAAGUUUAUUUAAGGGAGAGAUUUUUCUUAAUUUGAAUUUUAUUAUAGGUUGUGUACUUUUGUCACGCCCCGAGCCCGCACGUGCCCGUCACAUGACACCCGCCGUACUCCCAAGUCCCACUCAAGAAUACCAAGCUACAUUAACUAAUUUAACUUUGACAGUACUAAACAAUUUAACUAAAUAAAGUGCGGUACGAAUUACAUAUAAAAGGACAUCUACGAAUAAUCAAGACGUUCGUAUAUUUAUUCUCCGAUUGAAACAGCGGAAACAAAGGUGAAUAAAACCAACAACUGGACGUAGCCAGCCUGCCAACUUCUAUUCAUCUAAAACUAAUAACAGUCAUCCUCAGGGUCUUCUACGUAAACCAAUUCAUAUUCUUCAGAAUCUGUAAAAAUGGUAAGAAGUGGGUUGAGCGACACAUCGCUCAGUAGGUAAUAUUUACCCCUUUGUUGGACCAUGCACUCUUAGUUUUAUAGAUACAUAUACAAAUAUAAGUAUAACUCAAAUCGUUUGCAUAUCAUUCACAUCCGUAAUUUUGAAAGUAACGUCAUUUGUAAAGCAUCCAGCAGUAAAUAAGGACAAGCAAUUGAAAAGCAUCUUAUUGAUAGUUGUACAUAAGAAAUUGUAAAGUCAUAAAUCAUUUCGUCUCAAGUCACAAAUCUCUUCAUAUCCAUUCGUAAAUCAACUCAUAUCAGUUCAUAAGUCUCAUUUCAAAUCAGUUCAUAAAUCAUUCCAUCAGAUCAGCUCAUAACAAGUACAUGCAAUGACCGGCUACUGAGUACUCAGCCUAGAGAUUAGACCCCUUCUAGGUGGGCAACCAAUAGAUUUCAUGACUAUCGAUUGAUCUCAUUUCAUUCUUGGGUCAAUCGGCCGGACUUUAUACCAGGCUACCAUGACCUUGUCAAUCGGUUGGGGUUUAUACCAGGCUACCAUGACUUUAUCAAUCGGUCAAUCGGCUGGGCUCUAUACCAGGCUACCAUGACCUCGUCAAUCGGCUGGGCUUUAUACCAGGCUACCAUGGCGGUUAGACAGGACUAUAGCCCCUACCGUCUAUUCCAUGACUGCUCUGAGCUUUACUUGUCAAAAUUCAUUUCAUAUACCGUAUACAUAACUCUUUGCUUUCAUAAAAGAUUCAGCUCAUUUUGUAUAUAAGAACAUAUCCAAACAUUUCAAAUAAGUCACAUGGUCCAUUUUUGUAUAGUAAAAUAUAACUUUCAUAAAUAUCCAAGUAAAGCAUUUAAUCGAACACCUUUCGAGUCAACUCAACAAAAUCGGAUUGGAAACAAAAAUUUUGUUUUGCACAUUUGAAAUCUCAUAAGGGUAAGUACCACCUACCUUUGUCUGGCUGCUCGAGUGGAACUACCUUAAAUCUUUUAAACUGGUACCGUACCUACCAAAUGCAUAGGUUUCCUAAUUAGUUGUUACUUCCUAUAAAUGCAUAAAUAUACCAACUCCGAGUAAGUCGAAGAUUCAUGUCUAGACCAUUAUAUGAACCCUAAUAGCAUUUUCCUUAAAUUGGAUGAUUUCUAUGUUUGGAAAGUUUCUAUUUUAGAAAGUUUCUUACUUUGGAAAGUGUUCAUUUGUAAAGUUUCGUAAUUUAAAAGAAAAUAAUUAUUCGUAAUCAUGUUUAUUAUCCUGACUACUAUCUCACUAUGUUUAUUUAUAAUUUAUAAUUAUUCAUUAUUAUUAUCGUCCUCAUCGUCGCUAUUUUAUUUUAUUGCCUUUUAUAUAUAUAUAUAUUUGUUAACUAGUUACUAUUAUCUUUCGCUUUACUUCCACUGUUGUGCAUGUGUAGAUGUUAUUACUAUUUAUGUAUACAUGUAUAUAUAUAUGUAUUGACUUAUUAUUAUAAUUACUAUCUUAGUUUAUUCCAUUUGUAUUUAUAUUUUUCUUUCAUUUUUUAAUCCUUUAAUUUGUUUCAUUUACAUUUAUGUUGUUAUUAUUAUUGUUAUUAUUUUAAGCAUCUAAAAGAAAGUUGAGACUUGUCUUAAAUUGUGUAACUUAAUCUACUACUGAUGGAUUAAAAUGCCUUAAACUUCUACUUAAAUAUUUCUGGCCUAAUUAAUUAAUCUCGAAUGACCAAAUCUUUAAAAUCCACACUUAACUUAGAUUGGGCCUUGAAAUUUAGUUCCUAGAUUAGUUCAUAAAAGGUGGCUAGUUUUAUCUAACAGUCCACUAUUGGCCAAUCAUUAAACAUAUACUGUGUAUGUAGACACCAAAUUUUUGGUGUUUUAUUAUUUAUUUAUUUAUUUACUAUUCGUUUUUAUUUGUUCUAUUUUUAUUUGUAUUUACUUUUAGUUUUAGUUAUUUUAUCCAUUUUUAGCUAGAAUUUCUCAAAGGGAAAAGAAAAGUGUUCAAAAAAAUAUGUUUUAGUUGUUUAGGAUUUAGUUUCAUUAUUUAAAGGAAAAAGGAAAAAUGGAAAAUGAAAAGAUGAUGAAUUGGAAUUUGCACUUUCUUGUUUCUAGUUUAUUUUUCAUCCAAUGUUAAUUAAAUUGUUUUUGUUAUUUGUUUUUACUAUUAUCAAUGUUAAUUAUUUAAAAAAAAAAAGGGGAAUACGCGAUGGCAAGCUGCGUUUUUACGCAGCUUGCAAGUAAGGGCUCGGGCAGCCCUUGGCUGCAAUUUUAGAGGAGACAAUGGGAGUUUUAGGGUUGGGGUGGCCCCAUAUAAAUAGAAGAUGCAGCAGCAGCCGCAAGAGGAGAGAGGGCAUCGAGCAAAAGAAGGAAAAAAAAAGAAGAAAAAACAAAGGAGGAGUUUUUCGGUGAGCUUCAUCGUGGGGAGAGCAUCGACAGGCUAAAAGAAAAACUGAGCGAGGGUUUUGGAGUGAGAGAGGUCGGCGGCUGUCUAGCAUAAGAGAGUUUUAACGGCAAGAAGAGAAACGGAAAAACAGCAGAGGAGAAAAGAAUAGAGGGACCGAGAGCUGAGAGUUUUGUCUGAGAGAUUGAGGGAUCGACGGAGAGGUUUUGGGGGAGAGCAUUAACGGGCAAAAGAGAAAAGAAAGAAACGAAAGGCCGAGGAGGAGAGCUUAGGGCUGGGGCUGUAAGAAUCUGGGCAGAGGGUUAGGAAAACAAAGGAGGGCAGCGGCUGGUUUUGAGAGAAAGGGGAGCUCGGUUUGAGUGAGAGAUAGAGUAGGGGGUGCGGGGAGAGGCUAAACAAAAACAGAAAGGGAAGGAAGAGGGAAGCGGCGGCUGGACAAGAAGAAACGUUGCUGUGUUCCAGAAUUUUCUUCACCAGAAAUCUGUGGCGUUGAGUCGACGUCCUCACGCAAUUUCUUCGUUUCUGCUUUGUUCACGGGAUCCCGUAAGGUGCUAAAGGUAAUCCCUUUACUUCAUAUCUUCAAGCAAGCCCAGUAGAUUCGAGGUUUAUGUAGGUUUGGAAUUAGUUUUCGACUCAUUCUUGCCACUUAUUCUUGCCGUUUCUGUUUGUUUCUAUUGGCAUGUCCUUCCAUUCCUAUCUUCUGCGUGACCUUAAAUGGUUUGUCUCCUGCAUUUUUGUGUUGUGUUUGGGAGUUUAAUGGAUUUGGAUGACUAGUUUCUGACUUGGUUCGAAGGACCGAGAGAAUGAAGUGGUUGCUUCAUGGUCCGAGAAUGAAAUUUUUGGUGUCGUCUUUGCUGCGUUUUUUUGGUUUCUUCACUGCUAAAACAGAUAUCUGGAAAAUGUGUGUGCAUUUGCUGAAUAAAUGGUUGGGAUUAAUCAAAUGUUUUGGCAUUUUAACAUACAUGAGCUCGUCGCUGCAAGAUUCUGCAACAAAGGCAAAAGGAAAUUGCAUUUUUCUGUUCUGUUUUGCUGUCUCGUGGUUGCUCCCCAGGUCUUUGCACCUAAGUUGCAUGUUUAAUUUGUGUUAAGGACAAGGAAUGGAAUAAUUCAGUGCUGGGUUGGGAUGUUUGAAGUCUCAAAAACACUUGCAUCAUAUCCAAUGUUUGCUGAAAAAUGGGUUUCAGCUUUGGCUAAACCAUUUUGCAUGGAAGUUUUGGUCCAGAGUUAGGCGUCAAUUCCUUUUUAUGUUUCUUGCUUAUUUGGAUGUCCAGCCAUGUUUUGAUGGGAGUAACUUUAAAAUUGUUGUGCGCGUCUGUUUUGCUGAAAUUGCAGACUGUUGUACAUGAAAAUUAGGCUGCGGAACCGUGCUGAAGGCCUCAUCAAUAGCCGAAGCCUUCAGCCGCAGCAAGCUGUUUCUUUUUCUUUUCUUUUGCCGUUUGGUUUCCUCCCACCUUUGAUGAUCGGUUCCCGUUUUUGAUUCAGUUAUGUAGUGAAGUUACAUGGUUAGUGGAUGAUGGAUAGGCAGGAUCUUGGUGUUGGAUAAAAUCUGUUUUGCAUGAUGAAAGGAAAAGCCACGGCUGGAAAAGAGAAUUGCAGAAAGUGUUCAUUGCAGAAAAAUUUUGUUUCCUCGUAUGCAUGCAUGAAAAAAUUCUGAGUUUUUGCAUUUUGACCUCCCAAGUUCCCUUUUGCUUCACUAUGGCCCAAUCAAUUGAAUAAUCUCAUCAAUUUGAUCCUUAGUAGUUUUAAUUCUUGCAAUUUCAUCACUUGCUUUGCUUCAAUUAACUACCAUGCUUUGUCAAUUGCACUUAAGUCACGACUUUGGGGCUUUAUGACUAAGUGAGCCUUGUUUUGCCCAUUUCUUUUAAUUUUUCUUAAAUAAAGUGGUGCCUUGACCUUUUUAUUAUUUUGGAGGGUAAUUGAAUAAUUUCACUUCAUUGGGGCGUCAAUUCAAGGGAGGUACACUCUAUCCCUCAUUUGCACUACAUUUGACCUUACGUGCUCCUACGUGUUAUGUGAAUAUGCAUGCCUACUUCGCUUUCCUUAUCUCCUUGCAUGCAUUUACUUGUUUUUUUACUUUUAUUUAAGUUUUAUGGGGUAUGUGUACACCUCUUGGCUUGUAAUAGAUAGGGCUCGGAGAGCAUCUGGUCCAUUUUCCCUUCCCCUUUAUGCUUUCAUGGGGUAUGUGUACACCUCUUGGCUUGUAAUAGAUAGGGCUCGGAGAGCAUCUGGUCCAUUUCUCCUUCCCCUUGGUUGCUUGCUUUUGUUGUUACAUGUUAAAUUGCUUUAGUAGGCUCUUGCAUCUAGUCGAGCAUGCUAAGUGCUACGUGCUACGUGUUUACGAGCGUUUUGGCAUGUCUACUUGCUUUCAUAACCAUGAAUGAAUGGAAUGGAUGAAUGUACGUCACCACACUAGUCCAAUGCUAGUUGUGGCUCAUUAGGCCAUCCCUUUUUGUUAGUGCAUAUUUGCAUGUUCACUACAUGUCAUGCAUUUUUCUUAGUUUUAUCAUUUGGCAUGCUCCUCGAGCCCCUUUUCCCUCAUUUUAGGAUUCUUUGCAUCUCAUGCUAGUUAGGGUACAUUUGCCUGAAGAGUCCCCUUAAAUAUGGGAUAUAGACGAGUGUGGCUUUUUCUAAAGCCUUAGCACGCUUGUAUCCUCUCUAUAAAAGGGCAAAUUGAGUCACAAUUUAGGUCUCCCCGUAC